AAGGUUUUAAAACAUGUAAAUAUAUAAAUAAGCAAAAUUGAUAUAUUAAAAGGAGCCGUAAUAAGCCUCUCACCCUUUCAAGUAUAAAACAAACUCCUCUGAGGCAAUUUAGUCUCUCAGAAACUUCAAUAUAGGUCAAUGCUCUGUUUAAUUUGCAGCCCGUUCAAAAUCGUUGCGCGCCAUUAUGGAGAUGUAAGAAGUGUCACAUUUACCUUUUAUGGAGUCAUAUCCCAUCUUUCUCGAGGACAUAAUGACGGGACAUAAUGAGCUUGGCUUAAAUGUUUACGCAGCAAUCAUUUCUUUAACGAUUUUCAUUUUCAUUUCAUUUUCAUUCUAUAUGUUUUCGCAUGACGGUAAAAAUUUCCCCUCAUCAGCUCUACACUUACACUUUCUAUACAUUUACAUGAAUUUAGAUAACACGGUAAAUGGUAUACAGCCGUGCUAAGCUUCAUGUAGUCAUAUAAUUAAUACAGCAUGCUCACACUGACCUCUACAGCCCCGUGUGUAUUGCAAUGACCUCUGAACUGCCCGCUUUUUUUUUCCUCCCACUGCGAAAGGAAAUGGUUUAAGAUGCAAACAGUGUAGCAGACAUCCUGACACGAGUAAACACCUUAGAGUUUAAAAAAAAAAAAAAGCUGAUUAUCCUCUUGGUGUGAGCUGCCGGAUGUCAAUGUCAUCCGGUCAGCCGUUGCACCGGCUACAGUGCGUGAUCACGCUUUAAUUCUUCAUAGACUUGGAGUAAGGGGGGGGGAAUGGUGUCACAUGUAACCAAACCAAAUUACCUUUUAGGUUUUUUCUACUACUACCACUCCCAAUGCAACACAAUCAGUAUGUUUACAUGGACAGCAGUAAUCUAAUUAUUGACCUUAUUCUCAAUAAGACAAUAUUCUGAUUAAGGUGUUUACAUAAGUCGCUUUUAGAAUAUUCCUUUCAUGUUCCCGUUUUACACGUUAUAGAACAUAGAGCGAUUAACGGCACACGUCAUUACGUCACCGCGCCACGCCGUCCGACGUCCCUCCAGAAUUUCACCUGUCGACAUACAGUUCGUCUUCGUUAUGGUCCCGUAUACAGUUUUGGGCGUUUCAUUUUUUAUUUCACGAAAGCUUCAAGUGCAGUUAAUUAUUCGUCAUGCUGUACGUGCUAAUAGACGACUGCUUGAAGCCGUGGGCUGCGUCCCGAACCGCGUACUUACCUACUAUAUAGUAGACGAGAUACAUGUAUUUCACCAACUAUAUACUGUAGUAGGUAAGUACGCGGUUUCGAACACAGCCGAGCCGAGGUUCAGCGCUGCCGUGUGUGUACGUGUCCUGUCGCACAACGCGGUGUGAAAACUCCCACACGACGUGAAUAGUGUGAUUAAGGUGUGUACAUGUCUGUAAUACACGUCGAUAAU
Ictalurus punctatus (channel catfish) is the source of this 1393-nucleotide long non-coding RNA. Lineage: Eukaryota; Metazoa; Chordata; Actinopteri; Siluriformes; Ictaluridae. The record is from Ensembl.